CAAUAGCGUAUAUUAAAGUUGUUGCAGUUAAAAAGCUCGUAGUUGAAUUUCUGGUGGGCGCGCCGGUCUUCCAAGUGUUGUACUGGGCGCAGUCCGCCAUCCUUGUGGAGAGGGCUCGCAUUGAGUUGCGUGUCGGAUCUGCAUCAUUUACUGUGAAAAAAUUAGAGUGUUUAAAGCAGGCUGUCGCUUGAAUACAUUAGCAUGGAAUAAUAAGAUAGGACUUCGGUCUAUUUUGUUGGUUGCGAACCGAGGUAAUGAUUAAUAGGGAUAGUUGGGGGUAUUCAUAUUUAAUUGUCAGAGGUGAAAUUCUUGGAUUUAUGAAAGAUGAACAACUGCGAAAGCAUUUACCAAGGAUGUUUNCAUUA
Molecule: ribosomal RNA, 365 nt
Filed under: uncultured eukaryote
Lineage: Eukaryota
Description: partial 18S ribosomal RNA
Rfam family: Eukaryotic small subunit ribosomal RNA
Source: RNAcentral